This 24-nucleotide non-coding RNA is filed under the name Arabidopsis thaliana (thale cress). The record is from RNAcentral. Lineage: Eukaryota; Viridiplantae; Streptophyta; Magnoliopsida; Brassicales; Brassicaceae.
CCCUCUUAGGUUUGUCUGGCUGGG